AGCUCUCAAAUGUGUACAACAUUUGGACGUGGGUGUCGUUUGCCGGUCGCAAGAUUGGCUCACCCUAAACACAUUAGCUGGCUAUCUUUUUGGUCCGCAUAUACUCGGUGUGAUAAUGAUCACUCGCUGAGUUUGGUACGAAAAGAAAGCUGCUUCUAAAAUCCUUACUAUUAAAAAGU
Molecule: unclassified non-coding RNA, 179 nt
Filed under: uncultured Hymenochaetales
Lineage: Eukaryota; Fungi; Basidiomycota; Agaricomycetes; Hymenochaetales
Description: sequence contains ITS2
Source: RNAcentral